UCGAGAAUUUUUCUCAAUGGGGGAAACCCUGAAGGAGCGACGCCGCGUGGAGGAUGAAGGUUUUCGGAUUGUAAACUCCUGUCAUUGGUGAACAAAGCCUGCCGGUAACUACGGCCAGGUUUGCUAGUAGCCGAAGAGGAAGGGACGGCUAACUCUGUGCCAGCAGCCGCGGUAAUACAGAGGUCCCGAGCGUUGUUCGGAUUCAUUGGGCGUAAAGGGUGCGUAGGCGGCGGGGCAAGUCUGAUGUGAAAUCCCGGGGCUCAACCCCGGAACUGCAUUGGAUACUGCCUUGCUAGAGUACUGGAGAGGGAACUGGAAUUUACGGUGUAGCAGUGAAAUGCGUAGAGAUCGUAAGGAAGGCCAGUGGCGAAGGCGAGUUCCUGGACAGUUACUGACGCUGAGGCACGAAGGCCAGGGGAGCAAACG
Molecule: ribosomal RNA, 426 nt
Filed under: uncultured bacterium
Lineage: Bacteria
Also listed under: 1 other name
Description: bacterial SSU rRNA
Rfam family: Bacterial small subunit ribosomal RNA
Source: RNAcentral